GCGAGAGUGGCGGAACCGGUAGACGCACUGGACUUAGGAUCCAGCUCUGGAAACAGGGUGGGAGUUCGAGUCUCCCCUCUCGCACCA
Molecule: transfer RNA, 87 nt
Filed under: Deltaproteobacteria bacterium
Lineage: Bacteria; Pseudomonadati; Myxococcota; Myxococcia
Also listed under: 2 other names
Description: tRNA-Leu
Rfam family: tRNA
About the family: Transfer RNA (tRNA) molecules are approximately 80 nucleotides in length. Their secondary structure includes four short double-helical elements and three loops (D, anti-codon, and T loops). Further hydrogen bonds mediate the characteristic L-shaped molecular structure. tRNAs have two regions of fundamental functional importance: the anti-codon, which is responsible for specific mRNA codon recognition, and the 3' end, to which the tRNAs corresponding amino acid is attached (by aminoacyl-tRNA synthetases). tRNAs cope with the degeneracy of the genetic code in two manners: having more than one tRNA (with a specific anti-codon) for a particular amino acid; and 'wobble' base-pairing, i.e. permitting non-standard base-pairing at the 3rd anti-codon position.
Source: RNAcentral